UCCCAGGGGCUCCUGCUGAAAGACUGAGGAGGUGGAUAAAGCUCAAGGCACUGGCUGCUGUUUGAGGAAGAAGUUCCUUGAAACCAGACGUCCACAAGGCUGCAGAAACCGCGUGACCCCAUUGGAGCACUUGUACACUUGGCCCUGGACAAGAAGGCCCAGCGCGGUUUGCAAAUGGCAUUGGGAUGCUUGGUACGGCUGCACUCGUCUCUGAGCCACUCUCCCUUCGUAGAAGCUCUUCUUGAAGACCUCUUCACAUCUAAAAUGUGCAUAAAUAUUCAGAGGAAGUGGCGUGAGACCACGGGGUCUCGGAAAACGAGUCUGAAUGCUGGUGCAGCAGCCAGGAGACCUUCCGUGCAUUUUCAUCAGAGAAUUGCCUGGGAAAUGUGAUGGGCUGGCAGUUUCGGGGCUUCGAGCUGUCCAUUAAUCCAGAGAAGAGAGUUUAAUAAACUGCAGAUCCUCUUUGAA
This is a long non-coding RNA of Pantherophis guttatus, 468 nucleotides long. RefSeq lists it as uncharacterized. Lineage: Eukaryota; Metazoa; Chordata; Lepidosauria; Squamata; Colubridae. The record is from RefSeq and is a predicted model, not a curated record.